RNAcentral lists this long non-coding RNA (219 nucleotides) under Bos taurus (domestic cattle). RNAcentral's name for it is "long non-coding RNA NONBTAT012049". Lineage: Eukaryota; Metazoa; Chordata; Mammalia; Artiodactyla; Bovidae. The record is from RNAcentral.
CUUUGAGCCGCGGCCCCUGGGCAGAGAGGGGCACCAAAGGUUCUGGAGAAGAGGGCAAGGUCAUCUUCCACAGCCACUCCAGCGGCUCUCCCCAACUGCCUUCUCUUUACACGUUGAGACCUUUGGGGAGUGGCUCAGGCCCCUGACUACGGCCUCCCUUCUAACUCUUCCCUUUACCCUUGAUCAAAAUUAUAUUCAUCUCCAUCAUUGUAAUCUACG